CCACAUUGGGACUGAGACACGGCCCAAACUCCUACGGGAGGCAGCAGUAGGGAAUCUUGCACAAUGGAGGAAACUCUGAUGCAGCGAUGCCGCGUGAGUGAAGAAGGCCCUUGGGUUGUAAAGCUCUUUCGUCGGGGAAGAAAAUGACUGUACCCGAAUAAGAAGGUCCGGCUAACUUCGUGCCAGCAGCCGCGGUAAUACGAAGGGACCUAGCGUAGUUCGGAAUUACUGGGCUUAAAGAGUUCGUAGGUGGUUAAAAAAGUUGGUGGUGAAAUCCCAGAGCUUAACUCUGGAACUGCCAUCAAAACUUUUUAGCUAGAGUGUGAUAGAGGAAAGCAGAAUUUCUAGUGUAGAGGUGAAAUUCGUAGAUAUUAGAAAGAAUACCAAUUGCGAAGGCAGCUUUCUGGAUCACUACUGACGCUGAGGAACGAAAGCAUGGGUAGCGAAGAGGAUUAGAUACCCUCGUAGUCCAUGCCGUAAACGAUGUGUGUUAGAUGUUGGAAAUUAAUUUUCAGUAUCGCAGCGAAAGCGUUAAACACACCGCCUGGGGAGUACGACCGCAAGGUUAAAACUCAAAUGAAUUGACGGGGACCCGCACAAGUAGUGGAGCAUGUGGUUUAAUUCGAAGAUACGCGCAGAACCUUACCAACACUUGACAUGUUUGUCGCGACUUCAAGAGAUUGAAGUCUUCGGUUCGGCCGGACAAAACACAGGUGCUGCAUGGCUGUCGUCAGCUCGUGUCGUGAGAUGUUGGGUUAAGUCCCGCAACGAGCGCAACCCUCACUUUUAGUUGCCAUCAUUUAGUUGGGCACUCUGAAAGAACUGCCAGUGAUAA
This 835-nucleotide ribosomal RNA is filed under the name marine metagenome. RNAcentral describes it as "bacterial SSU rRNA". It matches the Rfam family "Bacterial small subunit ribosomal RNA", at positions 308 to 1161 of the family's 1533-position model. The record is from RNAcentral.